AGUGAACGCUGGCGGUAGGCCUAACACAUACAAGUCGAACGGCAGCACAGUAAGAGCUUGCUCUUACGGGUGGCGAGUGGCGGACGGGUGAGGAAUACAUCGGAAUCUACUUUUUCGUGGGGGAUAACGUAGGGAAACUUACGCUAAUACCGCAUACGACCUACGGGUGAAAGCAGGGGAUCUUCGGACCUUGCGCGAGUGAAUGAGCCGAUGUCGGAUUAGCUAGUUGGCGGGGUAAAGGCCCACCAAGGCGACGAUCCGUAGCUGGUCUGAGAGGAUGAUCAGCCACACUGGAACUGAGACACGGUCCAGACUCCUACGGGAGGCAGCAGUGGGGAAUAUUGGACAAUGGGCGCAAGCCUGAUCCAGCCAUACCGCGUGGGUGAAGAAGGCCUUCGGGUUGUAAAGCCCUUUUGUUGGGAAAGAAAAGCAGCAGGUUAAUACCCCGCUGUUCUGACGGUACCCAAAGAAUAAGCACCGGCUAACUUCGUG
This 492-nucleotide ribosomal RNA is filed under the name uncultured bacterium. Its description in RNAcentral is "partial 16S ribosomal RNA". It matches the Rfam family "Bacterial small subunit ribosomal RNA", at positions 29 to 507 of the family's 1533-position model. The record is from RNAcentral.